GACGAACGCUGGCGGCGCGCCUAACACAUGCAAGUCGAGCGAUGAAAUUUUAACCGCUCUCUUCGGAGAGAAGAUAAAAUGGAUUAGCGGCGGACGGGUGAGUAACACGUGAGAAACCUGCCUUUCACAAGGGGAUAGCCUCGGGAAACCGGGAUUAAUACCCUAUGACACAUUUCCUUCGCAUGGAAGAAAUGUUAAAACUCCGGUGGUGAAAGAUGGUCUCGCGCCUGAUUAGCUAGUUGGUGGGGUAACGGCCCACCAAGGCCAUGAUCAGUAACCGGCCUGAGAGGGUGAACGGUCACAGUGGAACUGAGACACGGUCCAAACUCCUACGGGAGGCAGCAGUGGGGAAUAUUGCACAAUGGAGGAAGCUCUGAUGCAGCGACGCCGCGUGAGCGAUGAAGGCUUUCGAGUCGUAAAGCUCUGUCCUAUGGGAAGAUAAUGACGGUACCAUAGGAGGAAGCCCCGGCUAACUACGUG
RNAcentral lists this ribosomal RNA (480 nucleotides) under uncultured bacterium. RNAcentral describes it as "partial 16S ribosomal RNA". It matches the Rfam family "Bacterial small subunit ribosomal RNA", at positions 28 to 507 of the family's 1533-position model. The record is from RNAcentral.